This 465-nucleotide ribosomal RNA is filed under the name uncultured bacterium. RNAcentral's name for it is "partial 16S ribosomal RNA". It matches the Rfam family "Bacterial small subunit ribosomal RNA", at positions 28 to 507 of the family's 1533-position model. The record is from RNAcentral.
GACGAACGCUGGCGGCGUGCUUAACACAUGCAAGUCGAACGGAAAGGCCCCAGCUUGCUGGGGUACUCGAGUGGCGAACGGGUGAGUAACACGUGGGUGAUCUGCCCUGCACUCUGGGAUAAGCCUGGGAAACUGGGUCUAAUACCGGAUAGGACCGUGCUUUAGUGUGUGCGGUGGAAAGUUUUUCGGUGCAGGAUGAGCCCGCGGCCUAUCAGCUUGUUGGUGGGGUAAUGGCCUACCAAGGCGGCGACGGGUAGCCGGCCUGAGAGGGUGUACGGCCACAUUGGGACUGAGACACGGCCCAGACUCCUACGGGAGGCAGCAGUGGGGAAUAUUGCACAAUGGGCGCAAGCCUGAUGCAGCGACGCCGCGUGGGGGAUGACGGCCUUCGGGUUGUAAACCCCUUUCGGCAGGGACGAAGCUUUUGUGACGGUACCUGCAUAAGAGGCACCGGCUAACUACGUG